This 207-nucleotide ribosomal RNA is filed under the name uncultured microorganism. RNAcentral's name for it is "partial 16S ribosomal RNA". It matches the Rfam family "Bacterial small subunit ribosomal RNA", at positions 9 to 213 of the family's 1533-position model. The record is from RNAcentral.
GAGUUUGAUCGUGGCUCAGAUUGAACGCUGGCGGCAUGCCUUACACAUGCAAGUCGAACGGCAGCAUGAUCUAGCUUGCUAGAUUGAUGGCGAGUGGCGAACGGGUGAGUAAUACAUCGGAACGUGCCCUGUAGUGGGGAGUAACUAGUCGAAAGAAUUAGUCUAAUAACCGCCAUACGACCUGAGGGUGGAAAGUAGGGGGACCGG